UGCAGUCGAGCGGUAGCACAGAGAGCUUGCUCUCGGGUGACGAGCGGCGGACGGGUGAGUAAUGUCUGGGAAACUGCCUGAUGGAGGGGGAUAACUACUGGAAACGGUAGCUAAUACCGCAUAACGUCGCAAGACCAAAGUGGGGGACCUUCGGGCCUCAUGCCAUCAGAUGUGCCCAGAUGGGAUUAGCUAGUAGGUGGGGUAACGGCUCACCUAGGCGACGAUCCCUAGCUGGUCUGAGAGGAUGACCAGCCACACUGGAACUGAGACACGGUCCAGACUCCUACGGGAGGCAGCAGUGGGGAAUAUUGCACAAUGGGCGCAAGCCUGAUGCAGCCAUGCCGCGUGUGUGAAGAAGGCCUUCGGGUUGUAAAGCACUUUCAGCGGGGAGGAAGGCGAUAAGGUUAAUAACCUUGUCGAUUGACGUUACCCGCAGAAGAAGCACCGGCUAACUCCGUGCCAGCAGCCGCGGUAAUACGGAGGGUGCAAGCGUUAAUCGGAAUUACUGGGCGUAAAGCGCACGCAGGCGGUCUGUCAAGUCGGAUGUGAAAUCCCCGGGCUCAACCUGGGAACUGCAUUCGAAACUGGCAGGCUAGAGUCUUGUAGAGGGGGGUAGAAUUCCAGGUGUAGCGGUGAAAUGCGUAGAGAUCUGGAGGAAUACCGGUGGCGAAGGCGGCCCCCUGGACAAAGACUGACGCUCAGGUGCGAAAGCGUGGGGAGCAAACAGGAUUAGAUACCCUGGUAGUCCACGCCGUAAACGAUGUCGAUUUGGAGGUUGUGCCCUUGAGGCGUGGCUUCCGGAGCUAACGCGUUAAAUCGACCGCCUGGGGAGUACGGCCGCAAGGUUAAAACUCAAAUGAAUUGACGGGGGCCCGCACAAGCGGUGGAGCAUGUGGUUUAAUUCGAUGCAACGCGAAGAACCUUACCUGGUCUUGACAUCCACAGAACUUGCCAGAGAUGCUUUGGUGCCUUCGGGAACUGUGAGACAGGUGCUGCAUGGCUGUCGUCAGCUCGUGUUGUGAAAUGUUGGGUUAAGUCCCGCAACGAGCGCAACCCUUAUCCUUUGUUGCCAGCGGUCCGGCCGGGAACUCAAGGAGACUGCCAGUGAUAACUGGAGGAAGGUGGGGAUGACGUCAGUCAUCAUGGCCCUUACAACAGGGCUACCACGUGCUACAUGGCUUUUCAAGAAGAACGACCUCGCAGAACAACGGACCCCUAAGAUUUUCCCAAUCCGAAUGGAACUGCACCGCACCCCUGAAGCCGAAUCCUUUAAUCUAAAAAAAAAGCUCCGGGAAAACUUCCCGGCCUUUACCCCCCCCCCCC
This 1323-nucleotide ribosomal RNA is filed under the name Klebsiella sp. RNAcentral's name for it is "bacterial SSU rRNA". It matches the Rfam family "Bacterial small subunit ribosomal RNA", at positions 56 to 1397 of the family's 1533-position model. Lineage: Bacteria; Pseudomonadati; Pseudomonadota; Gammaproteobacteria; Enterobacterales; Enterobacteriaceae. The record is from RNAcentral.